GCUGUCUGCGGCCUCCUCAGCACUUCUUCACAUCUCUGGGACUUCAAGUCCAACCUGGCCCUACACAGGUCGCUCAUCUGAAGUCUGAGUCUGAUCUGCCGAGCACAUUCAAGGAGCUGAACCGUCACACUGCAGGCGCAGGGAGCAUGUUGCCGACUAAAAAAUGGAAAAUAUUUCACCGUGUGGUCGAGUAUCAGGAGCGAGACGUGGGAGGUGUUGAACCUUGUCUUCUAUCAGAGAGAAAAUUUCUACCUGUCAAUCAGUCAGCAGUUCUCAACUCUUCAUCUGGAGUUUUUUUGUUUUUUCUUUUUGGACAGACAUGCGAUGAACUGCAUGACAACAACAGCAAGAGGGGAGUCAUUUUUUUUACUUGUUUUUCUUUUUUAAAUCAUAUUUGAGCAUUCCUUCCCCCAGUCUACACACAUCAACAGCCAGGAGACAUGAGAAGAGUCUUAGAAAUGGAUUUCAUGGUUUCUAUUUUAAAAACAGCUUGUUUCUUUUGUUUAUUGGCUGUAGUAAAGAACUGCAGGACUUUUCUUAGACUUGCGAAUGUGGAGGUGGUAGAGAGAGAUAAUAGAGACAGAGAGAGAGAGAGAGAGAGAGUUUAACUAUGAUCACAACUGUGUGUGUGUGUGUGUGUGUGUGUGUGUGUGUGUGUGUGUGUGUGUGUGUGUGUGUGUGAGUGUGUGAAUGUGCUGUACACUGAGUCUUUAUUUCCCAGUGGUGUUCACUGGUGGAGUCCCAACCGGUCGGUGGUGUCAGCUGGUAUCGGUGGUCCUCCCUCAGUACUCGCUCAGGUUGUGCCAUUUGGAGAUCUGCCGGCGGGGGUUUUCGCAGACCUCCCUCCAGUGGGAGGCUCCGGAGGGGGAGGGGCUGUGGAGGCCGAGCAGCAGGCGGCCCAGCACCUCGUUCUUGGUGGUCCGGUCGAAGUCGACCACCAGGAACUCCACGGAGAUCUCGGGCAGCAGCUCAGGCGGGAUGUCGUAGAUGAAGGACUCGUUGAAGACCGGGUUCAACGUGCACUUCUUCACAUGGGUCUUCUUCUUGGCGAUGCGCUUACGUCCGUAGAAGACGUUCACCUUCACGUAGGGGUCUGAGGAGAGAAGAAGAGGGAAAUAAUGGGAGUUUAAGGUUGGCCUCGACAGGAUCAAUAAGAUCCAGGUCUGAUCAGGAUCAAUCAUCGUCGAUCGCUGCACAAUGCAGCUGGUCAGAUUUCUCCUCGACUUGAUCCAGACUCGUUCUGCCAUCAUUCAAACGUAGACAACGAUCAGCUCACGAGAUCAAGGCGGCUGCAGAUUUUGGAGCCCGGGCAUGACGGGAAACACCCGGCGCUCCUCUGAUCUACGAGCUGAUUGGUUCAGACAUUUCUCCUGUUAACAGAAUAAAUGUGACGGUGAUCCGAAGACAUUCAGCAGCCAGUCUGACAGUCGAUCCUAGUGCGAGUCUACAAUAUGAAUAUUACUUAUCUUAUUGUUUUAGGUAUCAUAAAGUAUCGUGAGAGCUACGACUGACGCACAGAACUCUCACUAGGAUUAAAUGUCCUUGUCUGAGUCCUUGUCUGUCUAUGCGUCAGCGUCAAUGAUGAUUAGUAAUGACUAAUCGUCAUUGACGCCGACGCAUAAUGAAUAAUGUCGGGUCGCUAUUUCUUAUUUCGUGUGAUAUUUGGGAUUUUUGUGGUAAUGCAUAUAUAUUAACAAUUAUACAAAAAAAACCGCAGCAUUCAAAUACUGAUUUGGACGUCAAUUGCCACGGCAACGGUCGAAGCUUCGGGGGCAGUUGGAUCCGUCCCAGUUGUCCGUCUCGACUGCAGCUUUUUGUCCCAGCCCCCGGAUCUUAAAAAGUGUCCAGGUGAGGAGCACUUUCUCCAGUCUCCAGUGAGCCUGAUAUUUUGUCUCACAUCCAGGGUCAACUACUGAUGACGAUGGUCCUGAUACCAGAUAUCAAUUGCAAUGGACACGCUCUCCAGAAGAUGCUACGCUACAUGGACAAAAGUAUGUGGACAGGUGAACACAUGAGCCAGUGCAACAUGUGACUGUGACUCCACGUUCACCAAUGAGCUGUUCUAACAGCCUCCACAGUCCUGGUUUCAGUCUUUCCAGAAGAUGUUGAACCUGUUGCAGCGAUCUGAUCCCAUUCAGACACCAGACCAUCAGUGAGGUCCAGCCCUGACGUUGGUGAUCAGGUCUGGCUCGGUGUAACAUGGGGUUGAGGUCAGGACUCUUGCAGGCCAGUCAAGUUGAGACAGGAAAGGUGCGGACACAAACUGAUGGAAGAACACUGUUGUCUCAAAUAUCCCCAAACCGGGACAAGAAGACCCAGAACAAAAGUAAACCAAAGAUACAGUAUGUGUAGAGGGCUGUCCAAAUACUUUUGGCCACAUAGUGAGCUUUGGUGGUUAGACUAACAGAGAGAUUUUCAGGGAUUUAGACUUGAGCCUUGUUUCAUAGCGACAGGAAUUCAGUCUUUCUGCAACAAUUUGAAUCAGCUUUUAGACGGUGCAACAAUAAAACCUCCCACUGAAUAAUAAUA
Long non-coding RNA from Xiphias gladius (swordfish), 2529 nucleotides. RefSeq lists it as uncharacterized. The record is from RefSeq and is a predicted model, not a curated record. NCBI's taxonomy places the organism in Eukaryota, Metazoa, Chordata, Actinopteri, Istiophoriformes, Xiphiidae. The transcript is spliced from 3 exons.